AUAUCGUAGUCCAAAGAGCAUCCGCGUGGCAAUGGGUGGGCUCAUCCUCCUGGUUGUAAUCACCGUCGACGUCCUCGUCCUCCAGUCGUCGUCCUACUGCAAUGUAAAUAAAUAACAACACCAGAAAAUCACAAAGUAAUGACAUUUUUUGCAAGGUACAGAGCAAUGACUGAUACGAUCAAAUAUCAAUAAACAUCAGCAGAGUCAAGUAUGCAUGCCAAUGUCAUUAGCAAAGUACAGAGUAAUGACUGACAUAAUCAAAAUGUCAA
Molecule: long non-coding RNA, 269 nt
Filed under: Hordeum vulgare
Lineage: Eukaryota; Viridiplantae; Streptophyta; Magnoliopsida; Poales; Poaceae
Description: long non-coding RNA (HVUL_LNC013117)
Source: RNAcentral